AUUCAGUUUUCCUCAUCAAUAACUAGGGUUAGGAGAUGGUGGCUUCGCCCAGCACGACGCACUCGUUCUGCACAGGACCGACGGCCGGCGGCCGCAGCUAAUUCCUUCUCUCCUCUUCGGCGGCUGGCCCACCGCGCCAACCCAGCACGACGCCCUCGUUCCGCGCAGGGCGGGCGACCGGCGACCGGCGCCGAUAAUUCUUCUGCGGCCUUCUCUCCUCUCCGACGGCUGGCCCUACGCGCCAAUACUCCUCUGAGCAUUCCCCACCGGAUUGGUAUUGGAUCUAGGUCUGAAGGAUGAUGGUUCGCUACCGGGACAGAGUUGUGCCAGUUUUCACAUUUCCAAAAUGGGGCCUAAAUACUGAGGCGGCUAGAGGGGAUCUUGGUUAGGGCCUGUCAGGUUUGCAGAUGUAGUUGGUAUGCGGACCACAAAUUCAAUGGCUGCAACUGCUGAUUGCCCCUAAGUCUAGGGUCCAGAUUUUGGUCUUCAAGAAGUUGGUAAAGUCUAAUUCAUUUGGUAAAUAAGUUUUAUAUUAAUGCAGCAACAGGGAGAUCCUAUCAUUUUAAUUUGACAAUACUGAAUACUGUACACCAUAAUGGUGGUUGUAGGCAUAUUUAUUAGUGUAGAGUUGUUAAAUUAAGGAAACCAUUACUUCUUGUAGACUUGUGUGUAGUACGAUGGGAACAAGAAAUGAGUUGAAAUUGUUUGAGCAUAGCAAAAUUGUAGAAAUGAUUUUAGCCGUCAGUUUUAAUUUGCAAUUGAUUGGUGAAGUGA
Long non-coding RNA from Aegilops tauschii subsp. strangulata, 774 nucleotides. RefSeq lists it as uncharacterized. Lineage: Eukaryota; Viridiplantae; Streptophyta; Magnoliopsida; Poales; Poaceae. The record is from RefSeq and is a predicted model, not a curated record.